This 388-nucleotide long non-coding RNA is filed under the name Bos grunniens (domestic yak). RNAcentral describes it as "lncRNA (ENSBGRG00000006344.1)". The record is from RNAcentral. Lineage: Eukaryota; Metazoa; Chordata; Mammalia; Artiodactyla; Bovidae.
AUGUCCAUUCAGUCGGUGAUGCCAUCCAACCAUCUCAUCCUCUGUCGUUCCCUUCUCCUCCUUCCCUCAAUCUUUCCCAGCAUCAGGGUCUUUUCUAAUGAGUCAGUUCUUCUCAUUAGGUGGCCAAAGUAUUGGAGCAUCAGCUUCAGCAUCAGUCCUUCUAAUGAGAUCAUCCUGAGUAAACUACACAUAUCAUGGCUCCAUUCAGCAUAUCUAAGUCCUUCAAAAAUGGACUUCAUUCUGGAGUUGUGGUGGGCAACCUGCAUCCCGGGGGCCCUGAGAAGAGACUCUGUCCAUUUGCCAUGAGUCAGCAAGAACCAGUGACCCUGCACUCAUCUCUCUGUGGCAGGCUUGGAUGGCCCUGCUCAGUCAGGCCAUGCUCCUACAG